CCUACGGGUGGCAGCAGUGGGGGAUAUUGCACAAUGGGGGAAACCCUGAUGCAGCGACGCCGCGUGGGUGAAGAAGCGCCUCGGCGCGUAAAGCCCUGUCAGCAGGGAAGAAAAUGACGGUACCUGAAGAAGAAGCCCCGGCUAACUACGUGCCAGCAGCCGCGGUAAUACGUAGGGGGCAAGCGUUAUCCGGAUUUACUGGGUGUAAAGGGGGCGCAGACGGCGGUGCAAGCCAGGAGUGAAAGCCCGGGGCUCAACCCCGGGACUGCUCUUGAAACUGCGGGGCUGGAGUGCAGGAGGGGUAAGCGGAAUUCGUGGUGUAGCGGUGAAAUGCGUAGAUAUCAGGAGGAACGCCGGUGGCGAAGGCGGCCUGCUGGACUGCAACUGACGUUGAGGCCCGAAAGCGUGGGGAGCAAACAGGAUUAGAUACCCCGGUAGUC
This 440-nucleotide ribosomal RNA is filed under the name uncultured bacterium. RNAcentral describes it as "partial 16S ribosomal RNA". It matches the Rfam family "Bacterial small subunit ribosomal RNA", at positions 338 to 795 of the family's 1533-position model. The record is from RNAcentral.